GACGAACCGUCCAAACGUUAUUCGGAAUCACUGGGCUUACAGAGUUCGUAGGCGGUCCCAAAAGUUAGGUGUGAAAUCCCUCGGCUCAACCGAGGAACUGCGCUAAAACUGUGGACUCGAGGGAGAUAGAGGAAAGCGGAACUGAUGGUGGAGCGGUGAAAUGCGUUGAUAUCAUCAGGAACACCGGUGGCGAAGGCGGCUGUCUGGUCCGGUUCGUGGACGCUGAGGCGCGAAAGCGUGGGGAGCAAACAGG
Molecule: ribosomal RNA, 253 nt
Filed under: uncultured bacterium
Lineage: Bacteria
Description: partial 16S ribosomal RNA
Rfam family: Bacterial small subunit ribosomal RNA
Source: RNAcentral